Molecule: non-coding RNA, 29 nt
Filed under: Cricetulus griseus (Chinese hamster)
Lineage: Eukaryota; Metazoa; Chordata; Mammalia; Rodentia; Cricetidae
Source: RNAcentral
AACAGGGAGGAUCGGGUUGGGGGAAAUGU